UUUUACGGAGAGUUUGAUCCUGGCUCAGGAUGAACGCUGGCGGCGUGCUUAACACAUGCAAGUCGAACGAUGAAGCCCAGCUUGCUGGGUGGAUUAGUGGCGAACGGGUGAGUAACACGUGAGUAACCUGCCCUUAACUCUGGGAUAAGCCUGGGAAACUGGGUCUAAUACCGGAUAGGAGCGUCCACCGCAUGGUGGGUGUUGGAAAGAUUUAUCGGUUUUGGAUGGACUCGCGGCCUAUCAGCUUGUUGGUGAGGUAAUGGCUCACCAAGGCGACGACGGGUAGCCGGCCUGAGAGGGUGACCGGCCACACUGGGACUGAGACACGGCCCAGACUCCUACGGGAGGCAGCAGUGGGGAAUAUUGCACAAUGGGCGCAAGCCUGAUGCAGCGACGCCGCGUGAGGGAUGACGGCCUUCGGGUUGUAAACCUCUUUCAGUA
This is a ribosomal RNA of 441 nucleotides. It matches the Rfam family "Bacterial small subunit ribosomal RNA", at positions 1 to 441 of the family's 1533-position model.